Molecule: non-coding RNA, 21 nt
Filed under: Arabidopsis thaliana (thale cress)
Lineage: Eukaryota; Viridiplantae; Streptophyta; Magnoliopsida; Brassicales; Brassicaceae
Source: RNAcentral
AGAGCGAGACUGGGUUGACGG